Daphnia carinata is the source of this 79-nucleotide non-coding RNA. NCBI's taxonomy places the organism in Eukaryota, Metazoa, Arthropoda, Branchiopoda, Diplostraca, Daphniidae. The record is from the annotation of a RefSeq genome assembly.
GAUCGUGUGGCCUAAUGGAUAAGGCGUCGGACUUCUAAUCCGAAAAUUGCGGGUUCGAGUCCCGCCUCGAGUAAAAUCA